This 253-nucleotide ribosomal RNA is filed under the name uncultured bacterium. RNAcentral's name for it is "partial 16S ribosomal RNA". It matches the Rfam family "Bacterial small subunit ribosomal RNA", at positions 524 to 776 of the family's 1533-position model. The record is from RNAcentral.
UACGGGGGGGGCAAGCGUUGUUCGGAAUUACUGGGCGUAAAGGGCUCGUAGGCGGCCAACUAAGUCAGACGUGAAAUCCCCAGGCUCAACCUGGGAACUGCGUCUGAUACUGGAUGGCUUGAAUCCGGGAGAGGGAUGCAGAAUUCCAGGUGUAGCGGUGAAAUGCGUAGAUAUCUGGAGGAAUACCGGUGGUGAAGGCGGCAUCCUGGACCGGCAUUGACGCUGAGGAGCGAAAGCUAGGGGAGCAAACGGG